UACGUAGGGUGCGAGCGUUAAUCGGAAUUACUGGGCGUAAAGCGUGCGCAGGCGGUUUUGUAAGCCAGAUGUGAAAGCCCCGGGCUCAACCUGGGAAUGGCAUUUGGGACUGCAAGGCUUGAGUGUGUCAGAGGGAGGUAGAAUUCCACGUGUAGCAGUGAAAUGCGUAGAUAUGUGGAGGAAUACCGAUGGCGAAGGCG
This 200-nucleotide ribosomal RNA is filed under the name uncultured bacterium. RNAcentral's name for it is "partial 16S ribosomal RNA". It matches the Rfam family "Bacterial small subunit ribosomal RNA", at positions 524 to 723 of the family's 1533-position model. The record is from RNAcentral.